UUUUUUUUUUUGACGGGACCGAGCUAAUAAAACAAGAAACAAAGAACCGAAAGAAGUGAAUGUCAUUUAAUGGGUCGGCCGGUUCGCUCGUUCAUUGUCCGGUUAGGGGUCCAUCUAUCAAAAAAAGCUUUAUACGACUGCGCCACACCAAGCGAAGGUUAACAGGUUUGGAAGAACUUGUUUUUUCGCAAAAAGAAAACCAUGGAAAAACCGAAAAGAAAAAAAUGGAUAUCAUAAAAAAAGAUGACUGAAAACCAGAAAAAAUAGACCCCAAAUAAUACCAAAACAUGGAAGCACGGUUGUGUUCUUUCAUCUUCUCCAAGAAGCAGAGUUGUGCUUCUAGCGGAAGCAGA
This 353-nucleotide long non-coding RNA is filed under the name Hordeum vulgare. Its description in RNAcentral is "long non-coding RNA (HVUL_LNC013916)". The record is from RNAcentral. Lineage: Eukaryota; Viridiplantae; Streptophyta; Magnoliopsida; Poales; Poaceae.